GGGCGCACAGGGGAGAAGGUCUCGUUAGUGCCAGCAGGAGGGGCGUGGCGCCCUGGGGGCGCACAGGGGAGAAGGUCUCGUUAGUGCCAGCAGGAGGGGCGUGGCGCCCUGGGGGCGCAGAGGGGAGAAGGUCUCGUUAGUGCCAGCAGGAGGGGCGUGGCGCCCUGGGGGCGCAGAGGGGAGAAGGUCUCGUUAGUGCCAGCAGGAGGGACACGGCUCACAAUACAUCUGGAGUUGAUGUAACAUUGGGAGCAAAGUACAAGGCCAGG
Non-coding RNA from Caretta caretta (loggerhead turtle), 269 nucleotides. The record is from RefSeq and is a predicted model, not a curated record. NCBI's taxonomy places the organism in Eukaryota, Metazoa, Chordata, Testudines, Cheloniidae.